This is a long non-coding RNA of Bos taurus (domestic cattle), 732 nucleotides long. NCBI's taxonomy places the organism in Eukaryota, Metazoa, Chordata, Mammalia, Artiodactyla, Bovidae. The record is from Ensembl.
AUGGAGUUGAGAACCAUUUGGAUACCAUGAAUAAAGAGUCUGUCUGCUUUGGAAUCUGAGAAGGGAGGAGCAGAGAAGGACCGAGAACUCCUGGACAUAAAAAUCUCCCAUCUCCCACCUCAGCACACCUUGCUGACAAGGAUACAGCAGGCUUUCCGUAACUGCUGUUGAUCAUCUCCAUAAUCGUGAGUCAACUUGCCAGAGAGGGUCGGCCUGACCGACAAGAGGAACAGACUUAUUCCAGCAGCUGUCAGUGUCCAGAGGACACUAUGUUCCUUGGACCUAUUACCAAACCAGCCAGAUACUUCUAAGAAUGAAUUAACAUUUACCGAUGGAUUCUGUGGUGUUGGAGAAGACUCUUGAGAGUCCCUUGGACUGUAAGGAGAUCAUACAAGUCCAUCCUAAAGGAAAUCAGUACUAAAUAUUCAUUGGAAGGACUGAUGCUGAAGCUGAAACUCCAAUACUUUGGCCACCUGAAGCGAAGAACUGACGCAUUGGAAAAGACCCUGAUGCUGGAAAAGAUUGAAGGCAGGAGUAGAAGGGGAUGACAGAGGAUGAGAUGGUUGGAUGGCAUCACGGACUUGAAGGACAUGAGUUUGAGUAAGCUCCAGGAGUUGGUGAUGGACAGGGAAGCCUGGUGUGCUGCAGUCCAUGGGGUCCCAAAGAGUCAGACACGACUGAGUGACUGAACUGACUGACUGAUGGAGUCUAUAAUGUAUGAUGACCUUGAAA